UACGUAGGAGGCGAGCGUUGUUCGGAUUUACUGGGCGUAAAGGGCGCGUAGGCGGCCACCGCAAGUCGACUGUGAAAUCUCCGGGCUUAACCCGGAAAGGUCAGCCGAUACUGCGGGGCUAGAGUGCAGAAGGGGCAACUGGAAUUCUCGGUGUAGCGGUGAAAUGCGUAGAUAUCGAGAGGAACACCUGCGGCGAAGGCGGGUUGCUGGGCUGACACUGACGCUGAUGCGCGAAAGCUAGGGGAGCGAACGGG
Molecule: ribosomal RNA, 254 nt
Filed under: uncultured bacterium
Lineage: Bacteria
Description: partial 16S ribosomal RNA
Rfam family: Bacterial small subunit ribosomal RNA
Source: RNAcentral